This 249-nucleotide ribosomal RNA is filed under the name uncultured bacterium. RNAcentral's name for it is "partial 16S ribosomal RNA". It matches the Rfam family "Bacterial small subunit ribosomal RNA", at positions 57 to 305 of the family's 1533-position model. The record is from RNAcentral.
GCAAGUCGAGGGGUAACGAUGUCUUCGGACAGGCGACGACCGGCGCACGGGUGCGUAACGCGUAUGCAACCUACCUUUAACUGGAGGAUAGCCCCGAGAAAUCGGGAUUAAUACUCCAUAGUAUUCAUUAGUGGCAUCACUGAUGACUUAAAGCUCCGGCGGUUAAAGAUGGGCAUGCGUGACAUUAGUUUGUUGGUGAGGUAACGGCUCACCAAGACUACGAUGGGUAGGGGGCCUGAGAGGGUGAUC